UCCGAGUUGACCCCGGCAGUCUCCUACGAGUCCCCGGCAUGAUCCGCUGGCAACAUAGGACAAGGGUUGCGCUCGUUGCGGGACUUAACCCAACAUCUCACGACACGAGCUGACGACAGCCAUGCACCACCUGCACACAGGCCACAAGGGAACCGACAUCUCUGCCGGCGUCCUGUGCAUGUCAAACCCAGGUAAGGUUCUUCGCGUUGCAUCGAAUUAAUCCACAUGCUCCACCGCUUGUGCAGGCCCCCGUCAAUUCUUUUGAGUUUUAGCCUUGCGGCCGUACUCCCCAGGCGGAACACUUAUCGCGUUGGCUUCGGCACAGACAGAUUCGACUCCGCCCACACCUAGUGUUCAUCGUUUACGGCGUGGACUAC
Molecule: unclassified non-coding RNA, 377 nt
Filed under: uncultured Actinomycetes bacterium
Lineage: Bacteria; Bacillati; Actinomycetota; Actinomycetes
Description: uncultured actinobacterium contains 16S-23S intergenic spacer region
Source: RNAcentral